GGGGCCAUAGCUCAGUUGGUAGAGCGCUUGCUUUGCAAGCAAGAUGUCGGGAGUUCGAUUCUCCCUGGCUCCA
RNAcentral lists this transfer RNA (73 nucleotides) under Acidimicrobiia bacterium. RNAcentral's name for it is "tRNA-Ala". It matches the Rfam family "tRNA". From Rfam's summary of the family: Transfer RNA (tRNA) molecules are approximately 80 nucleotides in length. Their secondary structure includes four short double-helical elements and three loops (D, anti-codon, and T loops). RNAcentral also lists the same sequence under 2 other names. Lineage: Bacteria; Bacillati; Actinomycetota; Acidimicrobiia. The record is from RNAcentral.